UCCGGUUUGUCACCGGCAGUCCCAUUAGAGUGCUCAACUGAAUGUAGCAACUAAUGGCAAGGGUUGCGCUCGUUGCGGGACUUAACCCAACAUUUCACAACACGAGCUGACGACAGCCAUGCACCACCUGUGCACCACCCUCGAAGGCGACGCCUUUUGGAGCGCUUGCAGGUGCAUGUCAAGCCCUGGUAAGGUUCUUCGCGUUGCAUCGAAUUAAGCCAUAUGCUCCACCGCUUGUGCGGGCCCCCGCCAAUUCCUUUGAGUUUCAACCUUGCGGCCGUAGUCCCCAGGCGGUUCACUUAAUGCGUUAGCUGCGGCACCGAAGGUUACCCCCCGACACCUAGUGAACAUCGUUUAUGGCCAAGACUAC
This 370-nucleotide unclassified non-coding RNA is filed under the name uncultured bacterium. Its description in RNAcentral is "contains 16S-23S intergenic spacer region". The record is from RNAcentral.